GUUGCUUCUCCCCUCGCCGUCGAGAGGAGUGCGGUGUCCAGUUCAGAUCUAGGAGAUGUGGACCAUUUCUUGUCCUCGUUGUGAUUCCAACUUGGCGUCUCUUACUUGGCUAGAGUGAUCUCUUGCUUCUCCACUGGCAAGGACUUCGGUGGACAAUACCAACGGUUACCUUGCGCAUUUCCCGUCUCCUGCACGCCGCGUGUGGUCGCUACCGGCGCCUCGGCCGUGUACCUCUGUAUUGGCACUCCGACUGUGAGAAUCGCGCAUCGGUGCACCCUCAUCUCCGGGUAAGGUAACCUCUCGGCAGCAGAAUCGUGUCAUAGUGGGUGUCCUGCUAGCUUGGCUAACGCUCUCCUCCUCCCUCGCAGGUUGUAUCCGUGUGGCCGUGGUCAGACACACCACGCGUUUAGGUGCACGAGCGGCGACUUUUAGCCCCGGUUGUGUGGUGCCUCUGGAAGCCGGGAACCCGUAUCUCGGCUGCUGCUCCGGCCUCGGGAAAUUGUACGUUGGUGCGUGUGAGUGUGUGUGGGGAUACCUAGGGGACUGCACUGAGCU
Molecule: long non-coding RNA, 555 nt
Organism: Engraulis encrasicolus (European anchovy)
Lineage: Eukaryota; Metazoa; Chordata; Actinopteri; Clupeiformes; Engraulidae
Exons: 3
Source: RefSeq, a predicted model, not a curated record